AUGAAAGAAUAAAUGUUCUAAUGUAGGCGUAAAGGAAGAAGGUACAAGCACCAAUAAAAAGGAAGGAGCGCAAGAUCGAGGUAAAUCCUCUUCGUAGACGAUAGGGCGAAUUGAAGCGAGCACGUGAUCACUACUUAACAUAUCAAGCGCUUCCGCUAGAUGCUUUAAUGUUUUGGGUCAAAAAUUGUGAAAGUUUGUCAAAACUAGUUAGUAGAUGUAAUGGUCAAAAGUUUAUGUUUUUCUUGGAUUUUCGUUGUGUCUAGUCGUAAAGGUCAUGGGAUAUUUGUAUGAAAGUUGUAUGAAACAGGGGCAUGCUCAUCGUACGAAUGGGUCAUGCCCGAUUUUUGUCAAAAAUAUGAAUUUAACUUGUUA
Helianthus annuus (common sunflower) is the source of this 372-nucleotide long non-coding RNA. RefSeq lists it as uncharacterized. The transcript is spliced from 2 exons. The record is from RefSeq and is a predicted model, not a curated record. NCBI's taxonomy places the organism in Eukaryota, Viridiplantae, Streptophyta, Magnoliopsida, Asterales, Asteraceae.